UUGUGUGUUCGCUCGCGCUGUGUUGAAGAUUUUUCCUGCGUAACAUUUUCCGCCGCUUGAUGCGCGCAGGAAAAAAAGGCACAAGAAAGCCGUAUAAUGGAAAAUUAAGCGUUGCAAAAAAAAACCAAUCAAGCAAUAGUGUGUGCCGCACGAGACACGGUGAAAAUGGUAUGCGCGAUUUGUUCGUUCGUCGUGUGUGCGUCUGUACGUCGCGAUUCGGAUACAAGUGCUUUGCCACCGAGGUUUUGAUUGGCGUCUCGCGGCGUCUGAGCUGAGAAUCGUACGCGUGUGCGUGCGUGUGUUUCCGCGUGUGUAUGUGUGUUUGAAUGCGAGUGCGUGAAUGAUCCUGAAUUUGCCGUGCACAAGCAAUGGCGUUCGAUGGGUGCGUUCUCGGAACUAGCAGCAUCGGGUGCGAAUGAAUAGAGGGAAAAGAGUAUAAAAAUAACAAAACAAAGCAGCCGAUGUGCGGUGAUUUCGUGGCAAUACAGUGCGGUAGUGUGAUCAUAGCCAUAUCGGUGCAGUGAGCAAAGUGUGCAAAGGAAAACAUCUCACUGGCGGUGUGUGCAAACCCGAUGAGCAAUAAAAAAAAGGCAAGAAAAUUAAGUGCAAAAAUAUUCUUACCCAGAAAAUGUGAAUGAAAAGGUGCUCUCCCAGUGCAUAUAUGUUUGGCCGGCGUGAGCGUGCAUAUAUGCAUCCAUAAGAUUGAGCAUACUGCGUGCAAAAAAAAGAAGAACGGGGAAGUGAGCAGUGAGAAUAUUUUCCCCGGCACAGUGAAAUUGCAUUCUGUGAGCACACGAUCACACGAUCUCGAAUUGCGAGCGUGAGCAAAGAAGAGCGAGUGCAGGAGCGUCAGGUGAAAUUGUCGCACAAGUAAGUGCCCGAAUGAAGUGCAUUGCGUCUGAAGUGCACACGCAAUAAGCGUGUUCUGUGUGUUUGUGUGUGUGUGUGCAUGUGUGUGUUACGCCCUCGCGACUCUUUUCGAGCUCUGCGGGUCCAUCAUUAGUGAGUGCAUUAGGCGCACUCAUUGAUUAGCAUCGUCUGGUGAUUAUCGUGCGCUAGGAAAAGAAAAGAAACCACAAAAGCCACCAGUGAUUGUUGUGGCGACCAGUACGUGUACAUCGAUACAUUCCACCGACCGGUACGACAAACGAUUCAUUACAGACGGCGCGCCAUUUGAAAACGAAACAAACGCAAAACAAAAACUGGACGAACCUUUUGCAGCUUAUGAUAAUGAGCAACGAUGGAUUUUACCCUUAGCGGCACAGAUUUGGAAUAUUCUAUGAAUGUUUUACAAGAAGCUGCUGCCUGCCCGUUAGACGCCGUUAGUUAGCUCGAAGAGACCCCACGAGCUACACGAGAAAAGUCUGUCUGCGGCCGUGGAAGAUGAUGCAGUUAGUACCGUUGGAGCAGCAGCAAUUGGACGAACAGCAACGGCAACACCACCGAGUACGUCGGGAGCAUCCGGAGGCCGACUGCAACUGCAACCGCAACACAGCCCCGGCAAGGAACGCUCGCCACCAGAGUCAUCAUCAUCAUCAGCAGCAGCAGCAGCAGCAGCAUCAUUAUCGGCGGGGGCCCCGUCGUCAGUGUCGUGACCGUGCCG
Anopheles moucheti is the source of this 1603-nucleotide long non-coding RNA. RefSeq lists it as uncharacterized. NCBI's taxonomy places the organism in Eukaryota, Metazoa, Arthropoda, Insecta, Diptera, Culicidae. The transcript is spliced from 5 exons. The record is from RefSeq and is a predicted model, not a curated record.